GAUUAAUUCAAUUUGGUUAAUUUAAUAAAAAUUCAUAAAUUUUUUAUGUUUUCUUUAAAAAGUAUAGUUCAGAAAAUAAAAUUUAUUUAAUAAUAAAAAAUUAUUGAAAUUUAUCAGAAAAUUUAGCUAAUUUUGUGCCAGCAGCAGCGGUUAGACAAAUAAAACUAUUAUUUAGUUAAAAUCUUAAAAAAAAUUAAAAAACUAAUUAAUUUUAAUUUUAAUUAAGGUGAAAUUUUUUAAAAAAAUGAAAUUUUUUUCAAAGAAAAAAUUCUUCUUAAAAACUAGGAUUAGAUACCCUAUUAUUUAGAAUAAUAUGUUGUUAGUAAAUAUUUUAAUGAAAACAAAAAAUUAUGGCGGUACUUUAAGCUUUUCAGAGGAAUUUGCUCUUUAAUGGAUAAAACGCCUAAAUCUUACUAAAAUUAGUAAAGUCAGUUUGUAUACCACUAUAAAAGUAAUAUUUAGAUAUUAUUACUUUAAUUUUUUAUUUAAAUAAAAAAUAAAUUAAGUCAUGGUGCAGCUAAAAUUUUAGAGUGAAGUGAAUUACAUUUCUUUUUAGAAAAUUUUAAAGAAUUUUAAUUUAGGAUUUGAAAGUAAAGAUUCAAUAAAAUGGUAUUUUGAAUUAAGUUCUGAAGUAUGUACAUAUCGCCCGUCGCUCUUUUUUGAAGAUAAGUCGUAACAAAGUUAAAAUACUGGAAAGUGUUUUA
RNAcentral lists this ribosomal RNA (704 nucleotides) under Amblyomma nuttalli. RNAcentral describes it as "12S ribosomal RNA". Lineage: Eukaryota; Metazoa; Arthropoda; Arachnida; Ixodida; Ixodidae. The record is from RNAcentral.